GUCUUGUUUGUUGCCCAGGCUGGUCUGGAACUCCUGGCCUCAAGCAAUCCUUCUGCCUCUGCCUCCCAAAGCAUGGGGACGACAGGCGUGAGCCACUGCACCCAGCCAGGAACUUGUUUAUAGCAAUUGAUUUUGUUUUGUAAAGCUAAAAAAUAGAUCUCUGAUUUAGACUUUUCCAAAACUCAAGACAGAACAUCUCUCCUAAGAACAUUAAACAGCAGCGAGAGGAACUGACUGUGCUAUGGUCUAUGAAACCGGUCCCCCAGGCAGAGAAACAAGUAGAGUUUCCCACCCCAUCCCUCCCAGCUUUCCUAAAAUAAUUAUCUCUACUAAGGAGUCUGCGCAACAAAAAUAAGAGAUCAUCUCAAAAAGGCUACAUGUCUAAG
Molecule: long non-coding RNA, 386 nt
Filed under: Homo sapiens (human)
Lineage: Eukaryota; Metazoa; Chordata; Mammalia; Primates; Hominidae
Description: non-protein coding lnc-PIGR-1:1
Source: RNAcentral